Molecule: unclassified non-coding RNA, 801 nt
Filed under: Zea mays
Lineage: Eukaryota; Viridiplantae; Streptophyta; Magnoliopsida; Poales; Poaceae
Description: misc RNA Zm00001eb120400
Source: RNAcentral
CUGCACGAAGCCGCUCUUCGAGCCCUCGUGCUCGUCCAGGUGGUGUCGUCCCAAGCGCCGAACUCCCUGCGCUCUCUCAGUCUUCACAAGCGUGUCGCCUCCCCUGGUAUCGGUACCGACCGCCGGCGUCGUUUCCCAGCCACCGGCCUUCAACCCGAAGAGUCCCAGCCGUCGCGCCAGGAAGCCGCCCAGCCAGGGCCGCGCGCCGCCCCGCGCCCCGACGUGACUCCGCGCCUUCUCCCUCUCUUCAUCUCUUCAGGGUCGCCGCCGGCCAACUCCUGUCUGCGCCAGCCGCCUCCCUCUGCUCCCACCGGACCGCGCACCUGCGCCGUCUCCUCCAGCCUCCAGUGCCGCGCGCGCCCUGUCCUGUCGCGUCGCUCCGCCGGACCCCCUCCCGUCGCGCCUGCACCGCCGGAUCUGUCUCCUUCCGCGCCAGCGCCACCGGAUCCGUCCCGUCCGGCUUCUCCCUGCCACCUUCUCUUCACUUGCCGUCAGGCGCUGUCGGCCCCAACUCCCAGCCAAGCCGCCCGACUCGAUCCUACUGGCAGCGGGCGAGGGAGUGGAAAAUGGAGUUGCUUGCGAUUUGGCAGAGGGGAUUUAUCUGGAGUGUGCUUUGCUUUGAGCGAGAUGGGAGUUGAGGGAGCUGGUGGGGGAAUUUAUAAGCGAGUGGGGGUGCUUGGGCAUGGAGUGGCGAUGACGGAGCAGGUGACAUGCGGCAGCAGGUGCGACAAGGGGUGGGGGGCUGUUGCCGGCGACGAUGGUGGUGGUGGGUGCGCUGCAAAGGGAGGUGGGCGGCGGUAG